Molecule: ribosomal RNA, 429 nt
Filed under: Pseudomonadota bacterium
Lineage: Bacteria; Pseudomonadati; Pseudomonadota
Description: Proteobacteria bacterium partial 16S ribosomal RNA
Rfam family: Bacterial small subunit ribosomal RNA
Source: RNAcentral
UGGGGAAUAUUGGACAAUGGGCGAAAGCCUGAUCCAGCCAUGCCGCGUGUGUGAAGAAGGUCUUCGGAUUGUAAAGCACUUUAAGUUGGGAGGAAGGGCAGUAAGCGAAUACCUUGCUGUUUUGACGUUACCGACAGAAUAAGCACCGGCUAACUCUGUGCAAGCAGCCGCGGUAAUACAGAGGGUGCAAGCGUUAAUCGGAAUUACUGGGCGUAAAGCGCGCGUAGGUGGUUCGUUAAGUUGAAUGUGAAAGCCCCGGGCUCAACCUGGGAACUGCAUCCAAAACUGGCGAGCUAGAGUAGGGCAGAGGGUGGUGGAAUUUCCUGUGUAGCGGUGAAAUGCGUAGAUAUAGGAAGGAACACCAGUGGCGAAGGCGACCACCUGGGCUCAUACUGACACUGAGGUGCGAAAGCGUGGGGAGCAAACAGG